GGGCCGUGGCGGGCAGCUACACAUGCAAGUCGAGCGGUAGCACAGAGAGCUUGCUCUCGGGUGACGAGCGGCGGACGGGUGAGUAAUGUCUGGGAAACUGCCUGAUGGAGGGGGAUAACUACUGGAAACGGUAGCUAAUACCGCAUAACGUCGCAAGACCAAAGUGGGGGACCUUCGGGCCUCAUGCCAUCAGAUGUGCCCAGAUGGGAUUAGCUAGUAGGUGGGGUAAUGGCUCACCUAGGCGACGAUCCCUAGCUGGUCUGAGAGGAUGACCAGCCACACUGGAACUGAGACACGGUCCAGACUCCUACGGGAGGCAGCAGUGGGGAAUAUUGCACAAUGGGCGCAAGCCUGAUGCAGCCAUGCCGCGUGUAUGAAGAAGGCCUUCGGGUUGUAAAGUACUUUCAGCGAGGAGGAAGGCGUUAAGGUUAAUAACCUUAGCGAUUGACGUUACUCGCAGAAGAAGCACCGGCUAACUCCGUGCCAGCAGCCGCGGUAAUACGGAGGGUGCAAGCGUUAAUCGGAAUUACUGGGCGUAAAGCGCACGCAGGCGGUCUGUCAAGUCGGAUGUGAAAUCCCCGGGCUCAACCUGGGAACUGCAUUCGAAACUGGCAGGCUAGAGUCUUGUAGAGGGGGGUAGAAUUCCAGGUGUAGCGGUGAAAUGCGUAGAGAUCUGGAGGAAUACCGGUGGCGAAGGCGGCCCCCUGGACAAAGACUGACGCUCAGGUGCGAAAGCGUGGGGAGCAAACAGGAUUAGAUACCCUGGUAGUCCACGCCGUAAACGAUGUCGACUUGGAGGUUGUGCCCUUGAGGCGUGGCUUCCGGAGCUAACGCGUUAAGUCGACCGCCUGGGGAGUACGGCCGCAAGGUUAAAACUCAAAUGAAUUGACGGGGGCCCGCACAAGCGGUGGAGCAUGUGGUUUAAUUCGAUGCAACGCGAAGAACCUUACCUACUCUUGACAUCCAGAGAACUUAGCAGAGAUGCUUUGGUGCCUUCGGGAACUCUGAGACAGGUGCUGCAUGGCUGUCGUCAGCUCGUGUUGUGAAAUGUUGGGUUAAGUCCCGCAACGAGCGCAACCCUUAUCCUUUGUUGCCAGCGGUCCGGCCGGGAACUCAAAGGAGACUGCCAGUGAUAAACUGGAGGAAGGUGGGGAUGACGUCAAGUCAUCAUGGCCCUUACGAGUAGGGCUACACACGUGCUACAAUGGCAUAUACAAAGAGAAGCGACCUCGCGAGAGCAAGCGGACCUCAUAAAGUAUGUCGUAGUCCGGAUUGGAGUCUGCAACUCGACUCCAUGAAGUCGGAAUCGCUAGUAAUCGUAGAUCAGAAUGCUACGGUGAAUACGUUCCCGGGCCUUGUACACACCGCCCGUCACACCAUGGGAGUGGGUUGCAAAAGAAGUAGGUAGCUUAACCUUCGGGAGGGCGCUACCACUUUGGAUUCAGGUGG
This 1449-nucleotide ribosomal RNA is filed under the name Klebsiella aerogenes. Its description in RNAcentral is "bacterial SSU rRNA". It matches the Rfam family "Bacterial small subunit ribosomal RNA". The record is from RNAcentral. Lineage: Bacteria; Pseudomonadati; Pseudomonadota; Gammaproteobacteria; Enterobacterales; Enterobacteriaceae.